CGGUGGAUAACCUACCUAUAAGACUGGGAUAACUUCGGGAAACCGGAGCUAAUACCGGAUAAUAUUUUGAACCGCAUGGUUCAAAAGUGAAAGACGGUCUUGCUGUCACUUAUAGAUGGAUCCGCGCUGCAUUAGCUAGUUGGUAAGGUAACGGCUUACCAAGGCAACGAUGCAUAGCCGACCUGAGAGGGUGAUCGGCCACACUGGAACUGAGACACGGUCCAG
RNAcentral lists this ribosomal RNA (225 nucleotides) under uncultured Staphylococcus sp. RNAcentral's name for it is "partial 16S ribosomal RNA". It matches the Rfam family "Bacterial small subunit ribosomal RNA", at positions 116 to 334 of the family's 1533-position model. Lineage: Bacteria; Bacillati; Bacillota; Bacilli; Caryophanales; Staphylococcaceae. The record is from RNAcentral.